GACGAACGCUGGCGGCGUGCUUAACACAUGCAAGUCGAACGGAAAGGCCCUGCUUUUGUGGGGUGCUCGAGUGGCGAACGGGUGAGUAACACGUGAGUAACCUGCCCUUGACUUUGGUAUAACUUCAGGAAACUGGGGCUAAUACCUGAUAGGAGCUCCUGCUGCAUGGUGGGGGUUGGAAAGUUUCGGCGGUUGGGGAUGGACUCGCGGCUUAUCAGCUUGUUGGUGGGGUAGUGGCUUACCAAGGCUUUGACGGGUAGCCGGCCUGAGAGGGUGACCGGGAAAAUUGGGACAGAGAUACGGCCCAGACUGCUACGGGAGGCAGUAGAGGGGAAUAGUGAACAAGGGGCGGAAGCGUGAUGCAGCAAAGCGGGGUGCGGGAUGAGGGACUUCGGGUUGUAAACCGCUUUGGCGUGUGACGAAGCGUGGGUGACGGUAAUGGGUAAAGAAGCACCGGCUAACUAGGU
RNAcentral lists this ribosomal RNA (467 nucleotides) under uncultured bacterium. RNAcentral's name for it is "partial 16S ribosomal RNA". It matches the Rfam family "Bacterial small subunit ribosomal RNA", at positions 28 to 506 of the family's 1533-position model. The record is from RNAcentral.